This 253-nucleotide ribosomal RNA is filed under the name uncultured bacterium. RNAcentral's name for it is "partial 16S ribosomal RNA". It matches the Rfam family "Bacterial small subunit ribosomal RNA", at positions 524 to 776 of the family's 1533-position model. The record is from RNAcentral.
UACAGAGGGGGCAAGCGUUGUUCGGAAUUACUGGGCGUAAAGGGCGCGUAGGCGGCCUUCUAAGUCGAACGUGAAAUCCCUGGGCUCAACCCAGGAACUGCGUCCGGUACUGGAAGGCUUGAAUCCGGGAGAGGGAUGCGGAAUUCCAGGUGUAGCGGUGAAAUGCGUAGAUAUCUGGAGGAACACCGGUGGCGAAGGCGGCAUCCUGGACCGGUAUUGACGCUGAGGCGCGAAAGCCAGGGGAGCAAACGGG